UGCCCAAGCCAUAUAAGGAGACCAAGGACCUCAAAUCCCUCCGAUGUGGGACAACUCAACACCCCCCCUCACGCCCAGAUCUCUGGAGCAUGGACAACAUGAAUGGGGGCCCAACAUCGGUAACAAUAAUUGGGAUGGGCCUGGCUCUGAUACCAUGAUAAGAAUGGACCUUGGGAUAAGAAUGGACCUUGGGCCUAACUCAACCCCAAAAGCUAGAAAAGAAUGGACCUUGGGCCUAACUCAACCCCAAAAGCUAGCUUAUGAGGUGAGGAUUGCCCAAGCCAUAUAAGGAGACCAAGGACCUC
RNAcentral lists this long non-coding RNA (305 nucleotides) under Nicotiana benthamiana. RNAcentral's name for it is "long non-coding RNA (NBEN_LNC021044)". Lineage: Eukaryota; Viridiplantae; Streptophyta; Magnoliopsida; Solanales; Solanaceae. The record is from RNAcentral.